ACAGAUUCUAGAAAAUUUGUCUAGAAUAAUCAUUUACAUAUAGUAAAUACGAUACAUAGAUUGAACUCCAUAAUAAUUAGAUCUGAGGAUCCAAGAAGAAAGUCUGUUGGGUAAUCUGUAGUUGUUACGGCCUGAAAAAUUAUUUCAGAAAUCCCAGUUGCACAGACGUAAAGUACAGUAUAGUCUGUGGCCUGAAGAUGUACUAUAGAUACUAAUAUGUGAAUACUAGGAAGUUGGAGAACCAAACCGAAAAUCGCCAGAAUGGAUAAGGUUGCCCCAAUCUUCUUCUCGUGCGGUUCCUGAGGGGAAAAUUACCGCCGUCGGCGGCGGACACGAGGGCUCGCCGGGCCAGGGAGAGGAUCCAGGCGCCACCAAACCUCGUACGCGAGGACGCCGCCGUUGCUCGGACUUGAGCGCGGGCCACCUCCACCGCGUGAUGCGGCUGCUCUGUGGAGAGCCGGGCCGAGGCCCGCUCGGAGGAGCGGCGUGUCGUGGCUGUGGUGUCCGCCGCGCCCGGAGGACUGAUGCUUCUGCGACCGUCCUCGACGAGGUUGUUGCCGCUACAGUGAUGGCGAGACGGCGAGACGGCGAGCAGCAGUGGCCGCUAGUUCCAGUUCAAGAAAUUAGAAAAAGACAUGGAUUUCUUCCGGUUGAUGCUUCAGCCACCUAUUCAUCUCGCCAUGCUCACAUGCUCGGAUGAAGCGAUGCACUAUGUGGUGCAGAAAAUGCAGUUAAUUUCGAGAUCACUGGAAGAAAACAAAUACUUAAUUACUAAAUGGAAUUAGUGUUUCCUGAUCGAUUUCUCUUAUGGCUGUUUUAGGCAUUCGUGCCGAGAGGAGCCAGGCCGAGGGGAGCGUCGUUGCGCCGAUGCGCGCCACUGCCUCCUGUCUCGCAGCGGGCUGCAACGAUGAGACUCUGUGCGCGUGCCGGCCGGAGGGUGUCGCUGCAGAGGGUGGUCGGCCAUGGCCAUAUCCUCCGCGCCGUCGAUUUGCGUGGAUGUGAGCCUUUUCUUGUUCUGCUCUUUUUGUUUGUAGUUCAAGAAUGAUCAAUUCUUCGUGAGAUUCGUGUGAGCGCAUAUAUACAUACAGGGUGAACAAUCCAUUGUUAGAUCACUGUUUGACCACAAGAAAACAUGAUCUAAUAGGCAAAGAUUAAAAUAGGGAAACACUAUUAGUUUUCCUGAUCAAGGCCUUUAAUCCUUGGAUCAUUGGGGAUCAACAAGAUCUGUUCUUCAUCCUCUGCAAUGAUGUUCUGCUCUUC
Molecule: RNA transcript, 1260 nt
Organism: Triticum aestivum (bread wheat)
Lineage: Eukaryota; Viridiplantae; Streptophyta; Magnoliopsida; Poales; Poaceae
Exons: 2
Source: RefSeq, a predicted model, not a curated record